This 501-nucleotide ribosomal RNA is filed under the name uncultured bacterium. RNAcentral's name for it is "partial 16S ribosomal RNA". It matches the Rfam family "Bacterial small subunit ribosomal RNA", at positions 29 to 523 of the family's 1533-position model. The record is from RNAcentral.
AUUGAACGCUGGCGGCAUGCCUUACACAUGCAAGUCGAACGGCAGCACGGGUGCUUGCACCUGGUGGCGAGUGGCGAACGGGUGAGUAAUACAUCGGAACGUACCUUAUCGUGGGGGAUAACGCAGCGAAAGCUGUGCUAAUACCGCGUACGCCCUGAGGGGGAAAGCGGGGGAGCGAAAGACCUCGCGCGAUUAGAGCGGCCGAUGCCUGAUUAGCUUGUUGGUGGGGUAAAAGCCCACCAAGGCGACGAUCAGUAGCUGGUCUGAGAGGACGAUCAGCCACACUGGGACUGGGACACGGCCCAGACUCCUACGGGAGGCAGCAGUGGGGAAUUUUGGACAAUGGGGGCAACCCUGAUCCAGCAAUGCCGCGUGAGUGAAGAAGGCCUUCGGGCUGUAAAGCUCUUUUGUCAGGGAAGAAACACCGGCUCUAACACAGUCCGGGAAUGACGGUACCUGAAGAAUAAGCACCGGCUAACUACGUGCCAGCCGCCGCCGUAA